Molecule: ribosomal RNA, 186 nt
Filed under: uncultured bacterium
Lineage: Bacteria
Description: partial 16S ribosomal RNA
Rfam family: Bacterial small subunit ribosomal RNA
Source: RNAcentral
ACAGGGNAUCAUUCCGCCAUGGACNCCCGGUCUGANAGAGCAACGCCGCGUGAGUGAAGAAGGCUUUCGGGUCGUAAAACUCUGUUGUUGGAGAAGAAUGGUCGGCAGAGUAACUGUUGUCGGCGUGACGGUAUCCAACCAGAAAGCCACGGCUAACUACGGGCCAGCAGCCGCGGUAAUACAAAA